Anopheles stephensi (Asian malaria mosquito) is the source of this 1642-nucleotide long non-coding RNA. RefSeq lists it as uncharacterized. The record is from RefSeq and is a predicted model, not a curated record. NCBI's taxonomy places the organism in Eukaryota, Metazoa, Arthropoda, Insecta, Diptera, Culicidae. The transcript is spliced from 3 exons.
GAAUCGCAGGCCGUAAACGCAAUGCGUCUCGGAGUGUGGAUGUGUGCGUGAGUAAAUGAGAGACGUCAAAGUGAGUUUGGUUUGUUUACAUUGGCGUACGAUACGGAUGGAGGGUAGAUGUGCCGGGUUAACGCACUUUUUCACAUUAAAACAUGCGAUUGUUUUACGGCACGGUGCACCAUCGAUUGGAAAUGAAUCGGAAUGAAUCAACAGACGGCUGUAGUUGAGUAUUUUCGAGCGGUUGCGAGUAACUGCGACUGUCAGCGCUUAGCAUUGGCGGUGGUGCGCCCGUACCGUCGAAAUUCGUUUCCAGCAACGCUUCCGACUUGGAGCGCGCAUAGUUGGCCCGCGUCGUCGGCGAAGGAUCCAUGAUGGGUGAGACGGCCGGCUGCUGCUCGCCGGACGAUUCGUACACCGUUUUUGGCCGUUGGAUGUCGGACCGUGGUGGGGGUGGCAGUAUUGAGUCUCGUUCCCGGCCGGGGGUAGCGUACUUCUUCACAGCCUUCAUGUACGAAUCGGGUCGACGCAUUUGUUCCGGUUCGGGUGGUGCCGGCCGGCGUACCUGUAUCGAGGGUUGCUGGUACACGUGACCGACGGCGGGUGGUGGAAUAACCGGUGGUGCCGGUCUUGCCGGUGGACCUCGCUGUGGUGCGUACGAUGCGGCACCGGACACACCGGACAGGGAUUCGGUUUGCGAGUUUCGAGCCGGCUGGAAGCUGCUGUGGCUGACCGAAGUCGUCGGUGGCUCGUACUCGGGCAGAUGUUGCUUGAGCUCGUGCAGGAACGAAAGCUUAUCCUGCACCCGCAUCGGCAGUGUGCUCGAAUUGCCGUAGUAAUCGGAGCCAGCUUCUUCGACAUCUUCCUCACCACCACCACCACCACCACCACCCGGUGCGUGAAUGAUGGGCGAUUCCUCGUUGAUGGCAGUGCUUAGCGAGUUGUUACGGGUCACGCCCGAGUAGGUGGUGGACGUGUCCCGGAAGCCUUCGUUACGGAAUGCAAGCUCGAGCGCGAUACUUCCACCAUGGCUGCUGUACUCCGGCAGCCCGUACACUUUCGUCUUUGCCGGCCCCGUACCGUUGUUUGCGGCUGGGAUGUACUCGGACGGUGCUCCAUUGCUUUCGCUGUAACCGAGCUGACUCUUCAGCUGCUCGGCGUACUCGUUGCUGUACUGUUGCUUCUGCUUCUGGUCGUAAACGUCGUAGCUGGUUUCGGUGCUGAGGACACUCUUGUCCACGGAUUCGAUCGAACCGUUCGAUGCCAUUCGUUUGUAGUCGUUCGUUGUAGCUGUUCGUAGCGUGUCCGUCGAACGGGACAUUGCCUGGAAGGGAGAGAAAGCAGCAAAGGAAACAUUAGGGAAAAGAAAUCGAAUAUUGAAAGCUCCAUUAAUCUAGCACACAAAAAAUGAAAUACAAGCAUUACAUUAAAACACUCGACAUUUAUCAAAAUCAUGCCAUAACAGACGAGCCACAAAAACCAUUCACUUACGACAUUCACUGUCGACCACCUUUAAACUGAUGUUGGCUGCCAUAUCGUGUAGUAUGUGUGUGUGCGUGUAUGUUUGCAAAAAUAAAUUUUGGUGAAAUAAAUGACGGGCUCCCACAGCGCUUCACCCACAUCCCACCACACUUCCCGCGUUAAG